This 544-nucleotide ribosomal RNA is filed under the name Paraphoma chrysanthemicola. Its description in RNAcentral is "eukaryotic LSU rRNA". The stretch from base 197 to 350 matches the Rfam family "5.8S ribosomal RNA". Lineage: Eukaryota; Fungi; Ascomycota; Dothideomycetes; Pleosporales; Phaeosphaeriaceae. The record is from RNAcentral.
GCGACAAGUGACUGCGGAGGACAUUACCUUUCAUGCAGCAGAAUUGGGAUGGUUGAGUAUCUCGCCUCUCCGUUCUGCCUGUAUUCUACCCUUGUUUGUCAUAUACUAUUAUUUCCUCGGCAGGCUUGCCUGCCGAGUGAAACCAUUUAUAACCUUUUUAAUUUUCAAUCAGCGUCUGAAAAAAAUUAAUAAUUACAACUUUCAACAACGGAUCUCUUGGUUCUGGCAUCGAUGAAGAACGCAGCGAAAUGCGAUAAGUAGUGUGAAUUGCAGAAUUCAGUGAAUCAUCGAAUCUUUGAACGCACAUUGCGCCCCUUGGUAUUCCAUGGGGCAUGCCUGUUCGAGCGUCAUUUGUACCUUCAAGCUUUGCUUGGUGUUGGGUGUUUGUCCCGAGGGACUCGCCUUAAAGUAAUUGGCAGCCAGUGUUUGGUUUUGAAGCGCAGCACAAGUCGCGAUUCAAGGCUACACGCCCGCUUCCACAAGCCUUUUUUUCACUUUUGACCUCGGAUCAGGUAGGGAUACCCGCUGAACUUAAGCAUAUCAA